This is a non-coding RNA of Nicotiana tabacum (common tobacco), 528 nucleotides long. NCBI's taxonomy places the organism in Eukaryota, Viridiplantae, Streptophyta, Magnoliopsida, Solanales, Solanaceae. The record is from RefSeq and is a predicted model, not a curated record.
CCUUUACAGACGUACCCUAGAAAUUCCUUAUAAAAAAUAUUUCCCAAAAAAUUUCCCACUAAAAUUACACUUAAUAUUCCGCCAAUUCUCAUAAGUCCAAGAUAACCCUAUAGGAAUAAGGAGCAAAAUAGUUUUCACGCCACGGCUGCUCCAAUGCCCUCAAUCACUGCUUCUAUUUCUUCGUUGCUUCAUCCUUGGUUGCUGUUCUUCUAUUUCUUUUAGAAUUAUUUGCAAUGAAUCAGAAGACGAGCUUGAAACAGAGGAUGAGUUUGAAUAAGAGGAGGACGAGUUUGAUUCUGAGGAUACAUUAUGAGUUUGAUUAUAAUUUAAAUAGAAUAUAGCUCAGCCCUUUCUUGAUUAAUGAUUAAAGGCACAUUAAAUAUUAGUAGAUACUUGCUUUAGACUCGAAUGAUAUUUGUUUGUCGAUGUUUCCUUGUCUAUUUUGUCAUGUUCUAAUAUUAAUUUUUUUUCCUGAUGGUUUCUUUCUUAUGCUUAUAUAUUUCCUGCUCAUAUAAUUUUAGAGUCUCA